Molecule: unclassified non-coding RNA, 246 nt
Filed under: Rhizophagus sp. (in: glomeromycetes)
Lineage: Eukaryota; Fungi; Glomeromycota; Glomeromycetes; Glomerales; Glomeraceae
Description: partial contains 5.8S ribosomal RNA and internal transcribed spacer 2
Rfam family: 5.8S ribosomal RNA (bases 1-71)
Source: RNAcentral
GUGAAUCAUCAAAUUUUUGAACGCAAAUUGCGCUCCCUAGCAUCCCGGGAAGUAUGCCUGUUUGAGGGUCAGUGUUAACAAAAAAAUCGGUUUGGUUGCAAAUUGUGACGUUUCCGGAGUUUGGGCUAUCUUAACUUCUUUGGUUAAGGGGCUUAAAAUUGACCUUUUUUGCGCAUUUUUAGACGUACAUAAAUUUUUUUUUUUUUUCUUCUUUUUUUAUUCCCAAAUUUUUUUUUAUUUCGUUCC